UGGGGAAUAUUGGACAAUGGGCGCAAGCCUGAUGCAGCAACGCCGCGUGCGGGAAGACAGCCCUAGGGUUGUAAACCGCUUUCAGCAGGGAAGAAACUGACGGUACCUGCAGAAGAAGAUGCGGCCAACUACGUGCCAGCAGCCGCGGUGACACGUAGGCAUCAAGCGUUAUCCGGAUUUAUUGGGCGUAAAGAGCUCGUAGGCGGUUCGGUAAGUCGGGUGUGAAAACUCUGGGCUCAACCCAGAGAGGCCACUCGAUACUGCUGUGACUAGAGUGCGGUAGGGGAGCGGGGAAUUCCUGGUGUAGCGGUGGAAUGCGCAGAUAUCAGGAGGAACACCGGUGGCGAAGGCGGGUCUCUGGGCCGGAACUGACGCUGAGGAGCGAAAGCGUGGGGAGCGAACAGGAUUAGAUACCCGUGGUAGUCCACGCCGUAAACGGUGGGCGCUAGGUGUGGGGAUCGUUUCCACGAUCUCCGUGCCGUAGCUAACGCAUUAAGCGCCCC
Molecule: ribosomal RNA, 503 nt
Filed under: uncultured bacterium
Lineage: Bacteria
Description: bacterial SSU rRNA
Rfam family: Bacterial small subunit ribosomal RNA
Source: RNAcentral